This is a long non-coding RNA of Cervus elaphus (red deer), 371 nucleotides long. RefSeq lists it as uncharacterized. Lineage: Eukaryota; Metazoa; Chordata; Mammalia; Artiodactyla; Cervidae. The transcript is spliced from 2 exons. The record is from RefSeq and is a predicted model, not a curated record.
UCAAGAACCAGAAACCUGAUUCAUAUGACUGAAACCUCUCUGACCCAGGAAUAUUGUCUUGGGUCAUAUAAUCUCUUCCUCCUCUGUGUUUGUAGAAGGGACACAAAGAUAUUUCAAAAUCCUGCCAACACAACUCAGGACCAAGCUGAGACUUUCUUUGGGCCACAAGUGACAGACGUGAAACAAUUUCCUUCUUAAGAUGGUGACUUAUCCAAUAGAUCACUAUAGAAAAUCACCUAUGAUGGACAAAAGUCAUAAAGAAUUUCCCCCCAGAGUAGACGGCGUAGACACUUUGCCUGCAAUUCACAUACUCUACCUCUUAGUGGCAUUCUUUAUUAUUGAAGUAUUCCAGAGGGAAUAUCAUAAAAAUG